UACGUAGGGGGCUAGCGUUGUCCGGAUUUAUUGGGCGUAAAGAGCGUGUAGGCGGUCCGGUAAGUCAGCUGUGAAAGUCAAGGGCUCAACCCUUGAAAGCCGGUUGAUACUGUCGGGCUAGAGUCCGGAAGAGGCGAGUGGAAUUCCCGGUGUAGCGGUGAAAUGCGCAGAUAUCGGGAGGAACACCAAUGGCGAAGGCAGCUCGCUGGGACGGUACUGACGCUGAGACGCGAAAGCGUGGGGAGCAAACAGG
This 253-nucleotide ribosomal RNA is filed under the name uncultured bacterium. RNAcentral describes it as "partial 16S ribosomal RNA". It matches the Rfam family "Bacterial small subunit ribosomal RNA", at positions 524 to 776 of the family's 1533-position model. The record is from RNAcentral.